Long non-coding RNA from Astatotilapia calliptera (eastern happy), 2487 nucleotides. The record is from Ensembl. Lineage: Eukaryota; Metazoa; Chordata; Actinopteri; Cichliformes; Cichlidae.
GUAGAAGAUCAGACACAAUAACUGAAAAUCCUAGGACUAUAGACACACUACAGUAAACCUGCAAAACACAAAGUUUAGUUAAGGUUUUCACACAUGACAUGCUCACAGUGGUUGAGAGUUGUCUGCCAUAUUGGUUGCUAUGGAAACAUGUGUAUUCCCCAAAUGGUUGGCAGUGGUUUCUGUAGGUUGCUGGCUCUCUCUAGAUGAAACCAAUUGCCACCACUAGUUGCUAGCAGAUUGCCACUGUUGCCUGCAGCUUUUCAACUUUUUUUUUCUAUAUCCUAUAUAGAUCCAUCCAUCUAUAUCCUAGAGACCAAAGCAAUCACAAAGAGGUUUUUGCCUUCCAGUUGUAUUUUUUUUUUCUUUUCUCAUGACCUGUGCUUGCCAGAUGGUUGCUGACUAUGACUCUGACCAUUUUCAUUUGAUCUUAGAUUGUCACAUGACUGUCACACAAUCAUGACUGUCACAAGUGGAGCACAAAUUAACAUCUCACGGUUAGUUACGUGUCUGCAACACUCCAAUGCAAAUGUUACAAGACAGGACAGACAAUUACCAAAGCUGGAACCAAAACAAAGGGAAGAAGUACAAUUUAUAACAGAGGAAGAAUGUAAAAAUGUAAAAAAACAAAAAAACAAACACACAACACCAAAAUCAUGACAUACUGUACCCAUCAUCUUGUGGCAACACUGUUAUUUUUUGCAUAAAUUAUGUUCUUUUUUUUUUUUUUACCUUUUUGUUUCAUUUAAAUGCAACUAAUCUGCACCAUGUUUAAUCGCAAUGACAUUUAAUCCAAUAUUUACUGGGAUUAACAGUAAAAAGUGAUUUUCCUUUUUAUGCAUUUUCAGCUUAGUUUCAAUUUGUUUUUCUUUAUGUAUAAGUUCUCACAAAAAUUCUUGCAUUUCUAUUCAUGUCACAAAGGAAACUAUGAAGUCUUCAGACAAAACACAGACAGGUUUAUUCUAGUCAUUAUUCCUCUUUCUCGAAUUCUGUUUUUAUUUGUUGGUUUCUAUCUUCCUGUCAUUCAUUUUUUUUCUUCCUUGUUUUUUUUUUAUUUUAUCUGUUUUAUGGCCUCCAGAAAUCUUAACACAUUUGUUUUUUGUUUUUUUUACUGAAUUUCUCUGUGUACUAUUCAUCAGGCUAGUAGUGGACAGAUCUAAGUGUUGCUUUCCUGAGCAAUAACAGUAUUUUUUUUAUUACAUAAAAUUCACACCGCAUUCAAACAGUGCCAUAAAAAUUUUAAGAAAUAGCUAAUAACAAACAAUAAUUAAACAAUGCACAUGUGUAGCUCUAAGAACUUUAAUAUAAUAAAAUGUAAUAAUGAAAAUUAUACUUUUUAAAAAUAAUUUUAAAACAAUUACUUUUUAAAAAGUUGUUUUAAUGAAUGCCCUAAAAGCCCUUUAUCCAGAAUACAAGAUCUGCCUUAGAGGGUUUUUAGCUCAAUGACAGGGUCACUAACUACAUAUCCUGACACCAAACUUUCAAGUGAAAAGUCAAAUCAAAUGUUUAGGUUCAAAACCUUUUAUAAUUCAAUUUGUGAGCCAAGAUGUGGAGAAAGCAGCUUAAAGGACAUUUCUUUGUGAAUGUGUAUGUGUGUGUAUGUGUUAAAGUCACCAAUGUAUUUUUAACGCCUCUGGGUAACCAUCAAUAACCCAGACGUUGUAAGUCAGUCUUCACCCAUCUAUCAGGCUUGUGUGCUGCCCAGGGCUCAAACCCACGGCCCCCUCAUUUGUCUUGCCGUGUUUUCCUGCUUGACAGUUUGCCACCCCCCACUUAAGCACAAACACAUUUGUCCCCUCAGUGACCUACAAGAACUGGCAUGAAACUAAGGUUAAGACAAAAGCUCCCACUAACAGCUGAUAUAAGAUUAAAUGGUUUUGUGCCAUCUGACAGAAGAGCCAGGGUUUUUUAUUUUGUUUUUAUUUAAGCAGCAUUACAAACAUUUUGAUGGUGAUGCAUCAUUUCCAUUUUGAAAUACCUGCAUCUAGACUUUUUCCCAUCUGAAAUAGAUUUAAUGCCAUAUUGAUCUGAUUUCUUCUUUUUUUAUAUUGGACGUGCAGAAGAGUGGUAGGGGAUAAAGGAUUUUAAACAAGGAAAGGAGGAAGACCAGGAGAAGAUUCAUGGAUCUGAUGGCAUGCAGAGUGUUGGUGUGAAGAAGGAGGAUGCCAGUGAUAGGAUGAAAUCGAAUAAUUGCUUUUGAUCAUGAACUUUUUGGUAGUAUUUUGCUUUUUUAGUGUUAUCUUGAUUGAAAACAAGAAAAAAGGUUGUUUAUAUGACAUAUAUUGUUAGUCUGACUGACUUUGACUAGGUUUUUCAAAGGAUCAUGGCUAUUUUUUUUUUGCAUACCAAAUAAUAUUUAUAACCCUGCAAAUAAACUAUAAAAGAAAGAAACAGUUUCAUUCCCCUUCUUUCCUUUUCCUGUUUCUUUCCUUCAUCUUCUGAUUUUGCCUUUACUGACAUGAAUAUUGUGUCAUGGCCCUCAGGACGUUA